GGCUUAACACAUGCAAGUCGAACGCUUGUAGCAAUACAAGAGUGGCGCACGGGUGAGUAACACGUGGGAACAUGCCCUUUGGUGAGGAAUAACAGCGGGAAACUGCUGCUAAUACCUCAUACGCCCUUCGGGGGAAAGAUUUAUCGCCAAAGGAUUGGCCCGCGUCAGAUUAGCUUGUUGGUGGGGUAAUGGCCUACCAAGGCUCCGAUCUGUAGCUGGUCUGAGAGGACGACCAGCCACACUGGAACUGAGACACGGUCCAGACUCCUACGGGAGGCAGCAGUGGGGAAUAUUGGCCAAUGGGGGAAACCCUGAUCCAGCCAUGCCGCGUGAGUUUUAGCCUUAGGGUUGUAAAGCUC
RNAcentral lists this ribosomal RNA (359 nucleotides) under uncultured organism. Its description in RNAcentral is "bacterial SSU rRNA". It matches the Rfam family "Bacterial small subunit ribosomal RNA", at positions 45 to 433 of the family's 1533-position model. The record is from RNAcentral.